UAUGUAAUGUUCUUGCGUAAAUCGGAUGGGUGCAUCCGAUUUGCAUAAGAACUCGGGGAUACAAGAGGAGAGACCAAAAUAGAAUUUUGGGCUCUCCUCUCUCCCGAAAUGCGAAAAGAGAGUCAGUCGUAGUUUAGAGUAGAUUAAGAGUAGUAUAAGUAGUUAAGUUACGGUAGUUUAGGUUAGAUUUAGUUAAGUUCGUAAGAAAUAAAGCUUGGGCAUUUUCUAGCCCUACCUUUGGUAAAAGAUUAAAGUGCUUGUGGAAUUUAUUGGAGCUACCAGGAACCAAUAUCGGUUACAAAUGGCGCCUGGUCGGGGCGUAGCCAGGAUUGGGUCCUGGGGGGGGCUCAGCCGGAAAAAUAUAUUUUACCUAAGUAUAUGGGCCUUUUUAACUUUAAGAUUUCUACGUGCAAUUACCUAGCGGUUCAUACCAUUUUAAGCACAACAUUUUAACACAGAAUAAAUAUAUAAGCACAUCUAGUUUAGCACUAGGUAUGUAUUAAAUACCAAAAACUUUUGCAUGCACAUAAACUUCUAAUUGAUCGUGUUGCAGUCGGAGAACCAUAAUUCCUGUUCCGUCUUGACUUCCUUCCAUAAACUCUAAUUUGGCUGUUCCUAUAGCGUAACUUGGCCAUUAUAUUUACUUGAGUUGCAGCAAGACUUCUUCGACUUCGCGAAGGCGUGAUUUUUCAAAAAUAUUUGGCGUGAACUGCGAAUAAAUGUAUAAUUCUAAUGCUGUUUUAACAUUGAUAGCAGUCUGGGAACGGAAUAUUUAAAGCUUAUUUACAUGUACGUAAUUUCAUGAUGGUUAACAAAAAACGUGAUCCAGUUGUUUGCCAGUUUCUCGAAAAUUGUGAUUAAAUUAACUAUAUUUCUUGAACUUUGCUUAGUUUUUUCUUAAAUUCUAAAAUAAUUUAUAAGUGAGACUACGUUUGUAAUUUGGAAAGAAGUUCUUAAACAGAAUGUUGUUCUUCCUGAAACGAAACUUUAAAUUUGCGAAGUGACUUUACCUUGUUGCCUCAAAAAAUUCGCAAUUUCGAAAAAGUUACGUUGCUAUGCCAAUAUGCGAACUCGAAAUGAAUACACUCGUUGGUUGCUUCAUAUUUAUAUUUUCAAGCUUCAAAAGGGUUAGGAAAUCUCUAUUUGUAGUCCAAAUUAAUAUUUCCAUGCUUCGCACCAACCAGAUUUUGCAAUGAAGUAUGUAAAAGUUAUUUUGUUAAGCACGUCAAAAACUGGAAAUUUUCAACCUCUUUUGAAAUGAGAAAAAAAUCAACUUAGCAGACAAUUGGAAAAAUGCGUUAAAAGAGCAGCAAGGAGAUUUUGUCUUAUUGUCAUGUAAGUAUAAAUUUCAAUUUAUGAAAUUUCCGCUAAUGUUAUUUACAAUAAGAAACAACAAUUAAAACAGUUUUUGUUGCAAUUGAUAGAAGUAGAACUUUUAAAUUUUGUUAGAAUUUAAAAAACGAAAAUUGACAAAAUAUUCCACAUUUUGACAAUAUUUUAAUAGCAAGUUUUAUUAAACUUGCAAAUUUUUGCGUAUUCAUAAUAAAAAUGAAAUUACGGAAAGGAAAAUAACUUUUAAACAUUUCAUCAUUCCAACGGCAGUGCUAUAUGCUAAAAAAAUCAUUUUAGUUUUUUAGUACAGCUCUUGUCAAAUAUUUCGCAAAAACAUUAUUUUGCAUGGCAUUUUCUAUGUGAAAGUUUAGCUGCACGAAAUCAUAGCUCAGGAUGGUCCUCAGUUAGGACAAUACGAACAAAAAUCAGGAUGGGACAGUGCUUCCCCGAGUAGAAAUCACUAUGUCGAAUUCUGCAGGAAUCAACAAAAACCCUAUGCAUAUUGCAUUAUGCAUAAUUUUUUUUGUAUAAUCCUGCAGGAAAUUUCUGUCCAUUUUUUCUGCAGAAACAUAUUUGCAUAAUUCUGCAUAGUUCUGCACAAUUUCUGCAGAAAUCAUUAUGCAUACACUUUUUCUGCAGAAUAUUGGGGCAAUUUUCUGCAGGAAAAUAGUUGAAAUUUUUACUCGGGUCGCUGGUACGCUUUUUGUAUUUAACUCGUGCUGAUAGUUUGUUUAGCUUGAGACAAAUUUUAGCAUCACUUAAUAUGUUUACUGAGGGUCCGGCGAGAUUAUAGAACGUGUCGCUGAUCUUAAAUUUUGGGCGAAAUAUGCUUUGCGGAAUAUUCUAGGUUCUCUCAUCGUGUUCCUCACCCUUUUUUUGAUAAAGAGUGAAGUUAUGAUUUCUGGUUAGGUUAGGUUAGGUUAGGUUAGAAAGCGAAGAUUUAAAGGCCGAUAGCAGAGUUUUCCAAAAUCACUUUUCAUUUGAAAGUCUGCCAAACUCUUAAAAAAAUUUUUGAUGGAAAUUUUAAGUGUAGAUUUGACAUUUCUCAUCAAAGAUAAAAUAGGGGGGGCAUAAGUGGAUGUAACAAGGUUACUUUUACGAAAUAAUUUAAAUCUUUUAUAUUAAAAAAAUGUUCGAGAUCUGGAUGGUGAUCCUAACAAAAAGUUUGUGGUUCGUGAACUUUCGCACUCCUAAAUGUCUUAAUCGACAGAUUUUGAUGAAUCAUCUGGCCUAUUAUUAGUCGGGAGACUUGGUGCGUCACGGUUCACUUUUGUGACAAGUGUCGCACCAUGCGGGGAGUGAUCGUUGGGCGACUAUGGACGUCGUAGUUCUGCAGUCUUGUGCCUUUCUCUAGUUGAGUUCUUUAUUAUAAUAAUGGACCUUAUGGAAAGUCUUAUUUUUUGAAAUUGAAUGUUUUCCAAUAAAUUUGUAGGGGUCAUUUUGGCUUCGCACCGAAUACUUAUCUCAGAUGCUGCGAAAUCUUUCAUCGCAUGGAACCAUUUGGGGUUAAUUUUUGGACCCGUUUUCAAAUUUUCGAAAUUGAGAGAGUGAGUUCGCAAUGCAGCUUGAACCGAAGUUUCUGAAAAGUUUCAAAUAUUAGGAAUUACCGCCAUUGUUUCAUGUAAUUAUGCAAAAUAGCUACACAUUAUAAUCUCGCCAGCCCCUGUAUUUUAGUUUCUUAAUGUGGGUGGAACGAACAUACCUAUAUUGUUUAUGUAUUUUAAUAUAUAAGCUAAUAAGGAGCAGCAUAAUUGAGAUUGAUUUUUGAGAUGGGGAAACUACAAGUGACAAAAACUACAUCAAAAUUCGGAUUUGGAAAAACCGCAAGCAAUUGUUACGUAACAAUUUGCCGACAUAAAACGGGAUAAUACGACUUUAAUCUCGAAAGUAAAGACAAUCGCUUAUUAAUACAUCUGCUCACAUUUAUACCUUCAAUUUGUGAACUAAUAGUUUUUUAAUUUUUAAAUUUUAUUUAUAUUUUUAUUUUCUUAUUUUAUUUUGUUUUAUUUUAUUUUACUUUUUUCCGGCUCUGGGGGGGGGGCUCAAGCCCCCCUAGCCCCCCCUUGGCUACGCCACUGCUCGGUUUCUAGCCUUUAUGUACAUAUGUCCUGCACAUUUGGAUUUCUAAACCUCAAUUGUAUGUGGUAAACAAGUUUAUGUAGACAGGGUUCCGUGGUUAAUUAUGCUUGGACAUUAAUUCAAAAUUGUCUUGCUAGUAAAUAUAUCAUAGUGCGGUUCUAUAUUUUAUGAUUUAUACGAUUAAUAAUUGUAUUUUUGUUCUUCCAGAAAAGGCAAAAUGGCUAGUACAAGUUGAAACUCCAUGAAAGGUUGAAUUUCACUACUAUUAUUUGCAAACAGGAAUAAAUAAAUAAUGGAACAAGGGAUAUAAAAUGAAAAAGAAAACAGACAAAGAAUACGCUCACAAAUGUGGCUCAUAAAUAAAUAACGAAUGAAUAUAAAAAAUAAAAAA
Molecule: long non-coding RNA, 3802 nt
Organism: Folsomia candida
Lineage: Eukaryota; Metazoa; Arthropoda; Collembola; Entomobryomorpha; Isotomidae
Exons: 2
Source: RefSeq, a predicted model, not a curated record